UACAGAGGUCCCAAGCGUUGUUCGGAUUCACUGGGCGUAAAGGGUGCGUAGGUGGUUAGGUAAGUCCGAUGUGAAAUCUCCAGGCUCAACCUGGAAAUGGCAUUGGAUACUAUCUAGCUUGAGGAGUGGAGGGGGGACUGGAAUUCUCGGUGUAGCAGUGAAAUGCGUAGAUAUCGAGAGGAACACCGUGGCGAAGGCGAGUCCCUGGACACUUCCUGACACUGAGGCACGAAGCUAGGGGAGCAAACAGG
Molecule: ribosomal RNA, 251 nt
Filed under: uncultured bacterium
Lineage: Bacteria
Description: partial 16S ribosomal RNA
Rfam family: Bacterial small subunit ribosomal RNA
Source: RNAcentral